This 464-nucleotide ribosomal RNA is filed under the name uncultured bacterium. Its description in RNAcentral is "bacterial SSU rRNA". It matches the Rfam family "Bacterial small subunit ribosomal RNA", at positions 331 to 792 of the family's 1533-position model. The record is from RNAcentral.
CCAGACUCCUACGGGAGGCAGCAGUGAGGAAUAUUGGUCAAUGGCCGGAAGGCUGAACCAGCCAAGCCGCGUGAAGGACGAAGGUGCCAAGCAUUGUAAACUUCUUUUGUCAAGGGACAAAAUCAGGCUCGAGAGCCUGACCGAGGGUACUUGAAGAAAAAGCAUCGGCUAACUCCGUGCCAGCAGCCGCGGUAAUACGGAGGAUGCGAGCGUUAUCCGGAUUUAUUGGGUUUAAAGGGAGCGUAGGCCGGCUUUUAAGUCAGCUGUGAAAGUCCGCGGCUCAACCGUGGAAUUGCAGUUGAAACUGGAGGCCUUGAGUGCACACAGGGAUGCCGGAAUUCAUGGUGUAGCGGUGAAAUGCUUAGAUAUCACGCAGAACCCCGAUUGCGAAGGCAGCCUUCCGGCGCCCUACUGACGCUGAGGCACGAAAGUGCGGGGAUCGAACAGGAUUAGAUACCCUUGUA